Molecule: ribosomal RNA, 492 nt
Filed under: uncultured bacterium
Lineage: Bacteria
Description: partial 16S ribosomal RNA
Rfam family: Bacterial small subunit ribosomal RNA
Source: RNAcentral
AGUGAACGCUGGCGGUAGGCCUAACACAUGCAAGUCGAACGGCAGCACAGUAAGAGCUUGCUCUUACGGGUGGCGGGUGGCGGACGGGUGAGGAAUACAUCGGAAUCUACUUUUUCGUGGGGGAUAACGUAGGGAAACUUACGCUAAUACCGCAUACGACCUACGGGUGAAAGCAGGGGAUCUUCGGACCUUGCGCGAUUGAAUGAGCCGAUGUCGGAUUAGCUAGUUGGCGGGGUAAAGGCCCACCAAGGCGACGAUCCGUAGCUGGUCUGAGAGGAUGAUCAGCCACACUGGAACUUAGCCACGGUCCAGACUCCUACGGGAGGCAGCAGUGGGGAAUAGUGGACAAUGGGCGCAAGCCUGGUCCAGCCAUACCGCGUCGGUGAAGAAGGCCUUCGGGUUGUAAAGCCGUUUUGUUGGGAAAGAAAAGCAGCAGGUUAAUACCCCGCUGUUCUGACGGUACCCAAAGAAUAAGCACCGGCUAACUUCGUG